This 537-nucleotide ribosomal RNA is filed under the name uncultured Mycobacterium sp. RNAcentral describes it as "bacterial SSU rRNA". It matches the Rfam family "Bacterial small subunit ribosomal RNA", at positions 54 to 606 of the family's 1533-position model. The record is from RNAcentral. Lineage: Bacteria; Bacillati; Actinomycetota; Actinomycetes; Mycobacteriales; Mycobacteriaceae.
CAUGCAAGUCGAACGGAAAGGCCUCUUUGGGGGUGCUCGAGUGGCGAACGGGUGAGUAACACGUGGGUGAUCUGCCCUGCACUUUGGGAUAAGCCUGGGAAACUGGGUCUAAUACCGGAUAGGACUACGAAUCGCAUGGUUUGUGGUGGAAAGCUUUUGCGGUGUGGGAUGGGCCCGCGGCCUAUCGGCUUGUUGGUGGGGUGAUGGCCUACCAAGGCGACGACGGGUAGCCGGCCUGAGAGGGUGUCCGGCCACACUGGGACUGAGAUACGGCCCAGACUCCUACGGGAGGCAGCAGUGGGGAAUAUUGCACAAUGGGCGCAAGCCUGAUGCAGCGACGCCGCGUGAGGGAUGACGGCCUUCGGGUUGUAAACCUCUUUCAACGCCGACGAAGCGGAAGUGACGGUAGGCGGAGAAGAAGCACCGGCCAACUACGUGCCAGCAGCCGCGGUAAUACGUAGGGUGCGAGCGUUGUCCGGAAUUACUGGGCGUAAAGAGCUCGUAGGUGGUUUGUCGCGUUGUUCGUGAAAACUCACA